Non-coding RNA from Nematostella vectensis (starlet sea anemone), 73 nucleotides. The record is from Rfam. NCBI's taxonomy places the organism in Eukaryota, Metazoa, Cnidaria, Anthozoa, Actiniaria, Edwardsiidae.
GGGGAUGUAGCUCAGUGGUAGAGUUUCCGUCUUUGCAUGCGGAAGGACCGGUGUUCGAUUCCCCGCAUCUCCA